Molecule: ribosomal RNA, 1583 nt
Filed under: Auxenochlorella protothecoides
Lineage: Eukaryota; Viridiplantae; Chlorophyta; Trebouxiophyceae; Chlorellales; Chlorellaceae
Description: SSU rRNA
Rfam family: Bacterial small subunit ribosomal RNA
Source: RNAcentral
ACGCUAGCCGUAGGCUUAACACAUGCAAGUUGUACGCUCCCUUUGAGGAGAGUAGCGAACGGGUGAGUAACGCGUGAGAAUCUGCCUCUUAAACUGUGGAAUAACUUUACUGUUAGAAUCAUGGAUACUAUACUUUUUUUAAUUCAAUUGUAAAAUAAAUAAAAUUUAUUACAAAAUUGAAUUAAAAAAGUUAUAUAAAGAAUAUUAUUCGUUAAGAGAUGAGCUUGCGUAAGAUUAGGUAGUUGGUAAGGUAAAGGCUUACCAAGCCAAAGAUCUUUAGCUGGUUUGAGAGAAUGAUCAGCCACAUUGGGACUGAGACACGGCCCAAAUACUUUAGAGUAACAGCAGUGGGGAAUAUUGGACAAUGGGCGCAAGCCUGAUCCAGCUAUACGGCAUGAGUGUAGAAGACUGUAUUGGUUGUAAAACUCUUCGGUGAUAUUUUUAUAAUAUCCGUAUUAUAUUUUUUUAAAGUAUAAUAUAUAUAUUAUAAAAUAAGAGAUUAUGACAACGUAUCAUCAAUUAGUCCCGGCUAAUUUCGUGCCAGCAGCCGCGGUAAUACGAAAGGGGCGAGCGUUAUUCGGAAUGAUUGGGCGUAAAGCGUGCGUAGAUUGUUUUUACUUAUUUCUAUACACAGAUAUAAAUAUCAUUUAUAUUGAUAGAAAAUUUAUAUAAAUAAAAACUUGAGUAUUUAUUAGGAGAGUAGAAUUCCUGGAGUAGAGGUAAAAUUUGUUGAUCUCAGGAGGAAUACCUAAAGCGAAAGCAGCUCUCUGGUAAAGCACUAACAUUGAGGCACGAAAGCGUGGGUAGCGAAGAGGAUUAGAUACCCUUGUAGUCCACGCCGUCAACUAUGAUCUUUUUUUAUUUUCCUUGAAAGGGGGGAAGUGGAGUAGCUAACGCGUUAAAAGAUCCGCCUGAGGAGUACGGUCGCAAGAUUAAAACUCAAAGGAAUAGACGGGGACCCGCACAAGUGGUGGAACAUCGCGGUUUAAUGCGAAACAACGCGCAAAACCUUACCAGCCCUUGAUAUAACACUUAUAUAAUAAAAUAUUAUAGUUUUAGAGUUUGUGUUACAGGUGUUGCAUGGCUGUCGUCGGUUCGUGCCGUAAGGCGUUGGAUUAAUUUCUUUAACGAACGAAACCCCUGUUAUCAAUUGCUAAGAAUUUACAAAUUAUUUUGUAUUUCAGAACUUUGAUACUACUGCCAGUCAUAAACUGGAGGAAGGAAGGGAUUACGUCAAGUCCUCAUGACCCUUAUGGGCUGGGCUACACGUGUGUUACAAUGGCGAAUACAAAAAGAUGCAAUGAUGAGAGUCGGAGCAAAUCUAUAAAAUUCGUCUUAGUACAGAUUGUUUUCUGCAAUUCGAAAACAUCAAGAAGGAAUCACUAGUAAUCGUGGAUCAGCACGCCACGGUGAAUCAGUACUCGGGUCUUGUACUCCCCGCCCGUCACACUCUGGAAAUCGAGUGGAUUGUAAGUCUAUGUCUCCCUAUUUUUUUAUGGGAUGGGUCUGAUGGCCUAUACAUAUAUAGAAAUUUAGAAGAUAUACCCAGAAUUUAUUUGGUAACUGGAGUGAAGUCGUAACAA